CUAAAAUAAUAUUUUGUAUUAUAUUUGUAUUUUUGUAUAGUAUCUAUGUACAAAAAGACGGACAUAUAUAGCACCAUGGGUGGACAAUUGUAGUGUUGAUGAGAAUUCCGGUAUAAAGGGGAAUUUAAUAUUUAACAAUGAUAAAACCACUGUUAAUGAAAAACAAUUUUGAGCGGAUCUUAGUUAAUAGUAUUAAUAUAUACUGAAACAAUUCCUAUGGACCAACAAAUAGAUUUGUUCCACAUCAUUUUUUAAUAAAAUGAUUUAGUUAAAUUUGAU
Molecule: non-coding RNA, 279 nt
Organism: Cinara cedri
Lineage: Eukaryota; Metazoa; Arthropoda; Insecta; Hemiptera; Aphididae
Source: the annotation of a GenBank genome assembly